GACGAACGCUGGCGGCGUGCUUAACACAUGCCAGUCGAACGGAAAGGCCCUGCUUUUGUGGGGUGCUCGAGUGGCGAACGGGUGAGUAACACGUGAGUAACCUGCCCUUGACUUUGGGAUAACUUCAGGAAACUGGGGCUAAUACCGGAUAGGAGCUCCUGCUGCAUGGUGGGGGUUGGAAAGUUUCGGCGGUUGGGGAUGGACUCGCGGCUUAUCAGCUUGUUGGUGGGGUAGUGGCUUACCAAGGCUUUGACGGGUAGCCGGCCUGAGAGGGUGACCGGCCACAUUGGGACUGAGAUACGGCCCAGACUCCUACGGGAGGCAGCAGUGGGGAAUAUUGCACAAUGGGCGGAAGCCUGAUGCAGCAACGCGGCGUGCGGGAUGACGGCCUUCGGGUUGUAAACCGCUUUCGCCUGUGACGAAGCGUGAGUGACGGUAAUGGGUAAAGAAGCACCGGCUAACUACGUG
Molecule: ribosomal RNA, 468 nt
Filed under: uncultured bacterium
Lineage: Bacteria
Description: partial 16S ribosomal RNA
Rfam family: Bacterial small subunit ribosomal RNA
Source: RNAcentral